GCGUAUUAUGUCAUCAACUACUCCAAGCUUCGGAUUUGGGAGGUAAUAAUCCUGCAUAUUUUCAAGAAUCAAAUGAUUAUAUAUAAUGCAUGCACAGAAAACGUAUGAUGUUAUGCUCAAUUGAAUUUGUUUCUUAAUGCAGUUUGUGGAGUACAGCAAGAUGAUAUACUUGGAUGGAGACAUACAGGUUUUUGACAACAUAGAUCACCUCUUUGAUUUGCCAAAUGAGUAUUUCUAUGCUGUGAUGGACUGUUUUUGUGAGAAGACAUGGAGUCACACCCCACAAUUCAAGAUUGGGUAUUGCCAACAGUGCCCGGAUAAGGUCCAUUGGCCUCAAGAAUUGGGUCCUAAUCCUCCUCUCUAUUUCAAUGCUGGGAUGUUUGUCUUUGAACCAAGCCUCCCCAC
This 405-nucleotide long non-coding RNA is filed under the name Olea europaea (common olive). RNAcentral's name for it is "long non-coding RNA (OEUR_LNC005770)". The record is from RNAcentral. Lineage: Eukaryota; Viridiplantae; Streptophyta; Magnoliopsida; Lamiales; Oleaceae.